UGCGGGAGACCUGGGUUCCAUCCCUGGGUUGGGAAGAUCCGCUGGAGAAGGGAAAGGCCCCAUUGCUCUGACCUGGAGAAUUCCAUCAACUGUAUAGUCCAUGGGGUAGCAAAGAGUCGGACACGAGUGUGCGACUUUCACUUUUAUAUUGUUUUAACACUUUCAUGCAAAAUUAUAUCUGAGAGCAUUUAACAGUUCUUGAAGACGAGCUCUGUCGCCCUGGCGGGCCGCCCUCCUGUCCCACGCGGCGGGGCAGCGCCUGCCUCAACCCAGGAGAGCGUUCGGGGAGCGCGCGGGCGGCUGGCCCCUGCCGCGCGGGCUGGCGGGCGGCGGCAACGGGCGGCUCCGCGGUGUGGGGACCACACACCGCCCGCCCGCGCCCGGCCCCUUGUCCUCGCGCGGCGAAGGCCCCGCGCGGCGGCGCUGGCGGCGGGACACGGUGGGCCCUGCGCGAAUUAUAGGCGUUCCUUCUGAGGCUCCAUGUUAAACCUCUCCUGGACGCGCCCUCCCGGCUCCCUGUCCCCGAAAGCCGCACUCCGGGGCCCCAAGGAGCCGCGCUACCGGCCCACACCCCGCGCUCCCGGUCCCUGGCCUCAGGCUGCGGCAUCUCCAGCCCCCAGCCGCCGCCGGGACCGCGCGCCCGCGCCGCGGUCUGGUUCCGGAGCGGGGGCAGCCUCGGAAGGGUUGAGGAGUCAAGAACUGAAAAUUAGAUGGUUUUUUGGAUUUGAGGAUGUGGAAGAUCCUAUGAUUCCUCAUGCAAUGUUAUUUUUAAAGUUCCUGGCCGGGAUGUCAUUCUGAGAGAACGCCUGUUCGCCUCAGCUGAACAUGGAUAGUUUCCCAUCCUUUCCUCUGGUCUGAGUUUUGAUUUGCUUCGGUGCUGGUUCUGACCUUUUGUCCUGCCUGUGAGAGCAGGGCUCCCAGCUCUUCGCGAUGUCCAUCUCCGGCUCUGUAUUGAGAUCCCUGCUCUGUUCCUGCUAGGUGGAGGUAGUGUCUGGGCUCUCCAAGCAGUCUCUGUUGACAGACCGUGGUGGGAGGGACCCCUCCUUACCGUGGUGGGAGUGGGAGUUCCAGCUCCCCAUUUUCUUAUUAAUAAGGUUUGAGAAAUGUUCAUUCAUCCAUAAUAUCAUGGGCCACUCACCAGGGGAUAUACCUUCAGUUGGCAAAUUUAAAAAAGACAUACUCUUUGCUCUCAAGCAGUUAAAAGGGUGUAAUAUCAGAAGUGGAAAUGUGCAUUUUUAUAAACAUUUAUAAAUGGUUGAAAUGUGUACUAAAAUUUUAUGCAUGAUUAUACUGCAAAACUGCAAAUAUGUUCCUUAAUGUUUAGUUAAAAAUCAGCUGGGGAGCUUAUAUCACAAAGGAAUAAAGGUAAAUAAAUCUGAUAGGGUAUAAUUUAA
RNAcentral lists this long non-coding RNA (1394 nucleotides) under Bos indicus x Bos taurus (hybrid cattle). RNAcentral's name for it is "lncRNA (ENSBIXG00000002486.1)". The record is from RNAcentral. Lineage: Eukaryota; Metazoa; Chordata; Mammalia; Artiodactyla; Bovidae.